This 549-nucleotide ribosomal RNA is filed under the name uncultured bacterium. Its description in RNAcentral is "partial 16S ribosomal RNA". It matches the Rfam family "Bacterial small subunit ribosomal RNA", at positions 355 to 895 of the family's 1533-position model. The record is from RNAcentral.
UAGGGAAUCUUCCACAAUGGACGCAAGUCUGAUGGAGCAACGCCGCGUGAGUGAAGAAGGUUUUCGGACCGUAAAGCUCUGUUGUUGGUGAAGAAGGAUAGAGGUAGUAACUGGCCUUUAUUUGACGGUAAUCAACCAGAAAGUCACGGCUAACUACGUGCCAGCAGCCGCGGUAAAUCGUAGGUGGCAAGCGUUGUCCGGAUUUAUUGGGCGUAAAGCGAGCGCAGGCGGAAGAAUAAGUCUGAUGUGAAAGCCCUCGGCUUAACCGAGGAAUUGCAUCGGAAACUGUUUUCUUGAGUGCAGAAGAGGAGAGUAGAACUCCAUGUGUAGCGGUGGAAUGCGUAGAUAUAUGGAAGAAUACCAGUGGCGAAGGCGGCUCUCUGGUCUGCAACUGACGCUGAGGCUCGAAAGCAUGGGUAGCGAACAGGAUUAGAUACCCUGGUAGUCCAUGCCGUAAACGAUGAGUGCUAAGUGUUGGGAGGCUUCCGCCUCUCAGUGCUGCAGCUAACGCAUUAAGCACUCCGCCUGGGGGAGUACGACCGCAAGGUU